Molecule: long non-coding RNA, 2007 nt
Filed under: Homo sapiens (human)
Lineage: Eukaryota; Metazoa; Chordata; Mammalia; Primates; Hominidae
Description: HSALNT0213486
Source: RNAcentral
GUUCUUUUUUGUUGUUGUUAUUCUUUGCGUCAUUUCCAGAGAGACAGGAAGGAAAACAUAGUAAACAUUCUUCAAUUCUGCACAAAAGCCGAGAAGGGAUUUUCUUCAGGAACCUCCUUGUGGCUCUGCCAUGGCGGGGAGGGUUGGGGGUAAGAAAUAUAAGACCCAAUUCCCUGUGGAGGCGGGGAUUCGGUGAAACCAAUCCCUUGAAUGUGGGGUGGAACCAACAUGUAACUCAAUUUGCUUUGGCUCUCACUGUGCAUUUGAGCUAAAGCAAGGGAAGCAUUUCCCCUUCCCCUGGCUGAAAGCUCAGCUGACCCCGAGGCUCUUCUGGUCAUGCUUAGGAUGUCACUAUCAAUCACGCUUCGACUGAGUACAGCCAAACCAGGAUACUCAGGGACUUGGAAUCUGUUACCAGACUUUUAUUUAGUACAGACACAGCGCCAGGGGGCUGAGCAUUCUUCAGCAACACCCUUUGGACCCCUUUCUACACCAUCAUGCUGUAUGAACAGAAGGGUUGGGGACAUGAAGGAGCAGCUCAGCUAAGGUGACCCAGAUGGUUGGGCUCAGAGCUGGAAGAACACCGUGGUCUUCUGACUCCCAAUUCCUGCAUCUGUCCUGCUUGUAAGAGGCUUGCCAAGAACAGGAGCUUUUGUUUGUAGGUCUCUAGGGAUGGCCACCACAGGGAGUGUGAUUUGAAGAUGGGGUCGGCGUGACAUUACAGGCCCCCUUUAGGCUCUGCUGGGUUGCAGGCCAGCUCUCUGGGCUGCCUUUCUGAUGGCUGCUAUUUUAAAGGCAGAUAGGAUGAAGUUAGCAACAACUUAUAUCAUUAAACUAGCAAGGGCUCAGGAGGGGCAGCCCCCUUCUGGGAAUGUGCCUAGCUCCUGCUCCAGAAUGGAGGAGUUUCUGUGGCUCUAGGAGAGCUGGCCUUCUAUGGAGUCUGAGCAAUGUACCGCACGGGGAGGAGAAGACGCUUCCAGAAGAUACCAGUGUUUCUAUCCAGAGACGUUUCCAGGACACCACGUUAAGCAGCAGAGACACUAGAAGCCAAGGCACCUAUGGUCUGGUGUGGAUGUGUGCCUCCUGUGCCUCAGUGGCAUCAUCCGUACCAUGGGAGGUGUGUAAUGAGGGGUGAGAUCACGUCUGUGAGGGCACGUACAUAGUAGAUGCCCAGGAAGUGCCAGUCCCCAUCUCCUUCCCAGUUUCUUCAAAGCCUUCUGGAAGGCACUGGCAUAGCCCAGUCCUGAGGCACUGCUUUUUCUUUCAUGGAUGAUCAGGAGCUUCUGUGAUUUCUUCCCCCUCACUCUUCAUUUUGCCAAGAUGUUGCCCAUAGUAACCUCAGCAGUGGAGCGAGGAUUCUGCACUGUUCCACUGCCCUGGGGCUGCACACCCACGUGAGCGGGGCCGACCCGUCCCAGAGCGCUUUGCCCUCAGAAGGCAGCAUCACCUGCAGGAGCAAUGCCAUGGACAGCUCUGGCUUGUCCUCCAGGGCCCUGGCAUGGUCAGUGAGAAAAUGCCCCUGGGGCAUGGGCUUCUCCUGUCAGUCAAGUUCAGAAGGCUUCCUGGGGUAGGUAGAGACGCUCCCUACCCAGCUGAGUUAUUGAAAUGAUAGGAGGGAGAAGGGAAGGUCUGGGCAUGUGGCACUGUGAUUUUUUUUUCUUUCUUCUUUUUUUUUUUUUUUUUUUUUGGAGACUCGGGGUAGAAAUGAGGACAGGAAGAAGUACAAUCCGUCUGGGAUUGGUUUAUUUUUAUUGCUUUUUAAAAUCAUGUGACUAAUUGGUGUUCAUUGAAAAAGAGAAAACAAAAAUAAGCCAAGAGAAGACAGCAAAAAUAAUCUGUUAACAUCUUGGCAAAUAUCCUUUUUCUCUGCAUAGAAACGGAGAAUACUUUUGUUUCACUUAUAAAAUGUUUCUUAAUGUACACAGCUUUAUAACCUGCUUUUUGCUUAAUGGGACAAUAUACUAGGACAUGUUUUCAGGCCAACAGAUAAAUAUACUUCACUUGCAU